Molecule: ribosomal RNA, 113 nt
Filed under: Klebsiella pneumoniae
Lineage: Bacteria; Pseudomonadati; Pseudomonadota; Gammaproteobacteria; Enterobacterales; Enterobacteriaceae
Source: RNAcentral
UGGCGGCACUAGCGCGGUGGUCCCACCUGACCCCAUGCCGAACUCAGAAGUGAAACGCCGUAGCGCCGAUGGUAGUGUGGGGUCUCCCCAUGUGAGAGUAGGGAACUGCCAGG